UGAGCCAGGGAGGAUAGACUUUAUUCAGAGAGGAUACAUAAGAGUCCUGCGUCUCCUACAGCCUUGAUGCUGUUCUGGCACACCACAGGAUAAAUUAGGAGUAUUGGCUCAAGUUCAUAGACUUCAUAUCAACAUCAGUGUCAGAUUGACCUGCAUGAAGAAGUCUGGCCUGGUUAUGUCACUAGUAUGUGUGCUUUAUUAGUCACACACUGAACACACAGGUUCUUGCUGUUCAUCCAGAGUCGUGUCCACUAGGUGGCAGCAGUGCACCUUUACGUUGGUUGUACAGAAGAAGAAGAAACCCGGAAGCUGCUAGCAGCGCUAGCUUGUUGUUGUUCUGGUGUGUGAGGUGAAUGAAUAUUUGAGUCUCUGGGAGAGUUGAUCGGCUAAAGCGACUAACUGCUGCUGCUGCAGAAAUCUUCUCACCAGGCUGUGGAAACCUACUUCUCCUCCUCAACAACUUGGUGGACUUCUUUCCAGAACCAGAGAAGAUAUUCUGCGGUCUUCGUGACAAUCGGAGCUCCAGAAGCAGCUGUUAGCUAAACACGGCUAAAGAAAACCUGCUACCACUUCAGGAUCAUCCAUCAGCUGGGACUGCUUCAUCAGCAUGGACACAGGGCAUGUUGUGAUCUGUGGGGGAAACCGGAGUACCCGGAGGAAACCCACGCAUGCAUGGGGAGCAGUGGCGGUUCCACAUGGAAUUACUCCCCGUGCGACGCCCCCUUUGAGCGCCCCACCACCACCCCACCUGCACGAACACGCAUGUUUUCUACAAACAGGCAUGUUUUAUUAGAACAACUAUUGAACAUUCAUUUUUCUAAGUUGCACAUAUUUACAUUAAUUACUAUGAAGUUGUCAGAAUGUAAAGCAAUAUACAUUAUAUGCUGUAUCAAAAUAUAUAGAAUCAAAGUUCCAAUGUACCCUCCCCCAAACACAUGCACGCACACACAUGUACACAUACACACACGCACGUACACAUACACAAAUUAUUGCAAGCGCCUUAACUAGAGCUCAGUCAGUUUGUGUAAUGUCCUCCAACGGUUUACGAAAAAACAGUUUGAAGCCGUUAUGCAGCGGAACGCUGGCAACAAAGCUCUGCCUGAUCAACACUAUAAAUGAUAAAUGACCCGCACUUGUAUAGCGCCUCUCAGAGUAAAGACUCCAAAGCGCUUUACGCUACAGUGUAUCAUUCAUCCAUUCACACACACAUUCACACACUGAUGGUGAUAAGCUACGAUGUAGCCACAGCUGCCCUGGGGCGCACUGACAGAGGUGCCCCGCUAUUUAAUUCACUCAUUUGUUAUUCUUCCAACCAAGUGCUAACCAAAACCUCAUGCUUUAUGCAAAACAUUAAAUGAUUUUCAGCAUACCAAUCUUUACAGAAAACAUAAAACCCUAAAAAAAACUGCACAUAAAAUAUAAUAAGAAACAAUAUUCACUUAUCACUUAGAGCAGUGGUUCCCAUCAGCCUGACCAACAGAUGUUCCUUCAUAUUUUUAUGUUAUUUAUACAUUUUCAUUAUAUUUGGAAAGUUUUAAUUUAUAUAUAAAUAUAUAAAUCUAUUUUAAAAUUUUAUACUUGACUUCCAUAUUAACGCAUCAGUAUCUGCACCUUUUUUACGGCUUUUUUUUUUACAUUGUCGCUACGUCUGUCACGUUAGCGGUGUUUUACCACCAUUUCUACAUCCAUCACGUCCCAGAGAAGGUUAAACCAACAUCAGACCCAACGUUUGGAGCUGGUAAACUCCACACACCUCUCGUGCAGCACCAGCUGUCUGAUGCUGCAGCAGCGUCAAUCUUCCCGGCUGGAUGAGUGAAUUUCUUCAUCAGAGUCAAUAUUCUGCUUCAUAAUCAGAGUCAGUCAUUACCAGACAAAGUGGUCAGUCAGCAAAGA
Molecule: non-coding RNA, 1893 nt
Organism: Nothobranchius furzeri (turquoise killifish)
Lineage: Eukaryota; Metazoa; Chordata; Actinopteri; Cyprinodontiformes; Nothobranchiidae
Source: RefSeq, a predicted model, not a curated record